This 301-nucleotide unclassified non-coding RNA is filed under the name uncultured fungus. Its description in RNAcentral is "partial contains small subunit ribosomal RNA, internal transcribed spacer 1, and 5.8S ribosomal RNA". The stretch from base 1 to 73 matches the Rfam family "Eukaryotic small subunit ribosomal RNA", at positions 1759 to 1831 of the family's 1831-position model. The record is from RNAcentral. Lineage: Eukaryota; Fungi.
GCAAACUUGGUCAUUUAGAGGAAGUAAAAGUCGUAACAAGGUCUCCGUUGGUGAACCAGCGGAGGGAUCAUUACCGAGUUUUUCAACUCCCCAACCCUUUGUGAACCUAUACCAACUACGUUGCUUCGGCGGGAACGCCCCGGCAUGCGCCUUUGGCGCCGCCCGGAACCAGGCGCCCGCCCGAGGACCCCCCCAAACUCUGAGAUACUAUUCGGUUUAUUUCUUCUGAGUACUAAAAAAAAAAUGAAUCAAAACUUUCAACAACGGAUCUCUUGGCUCUGGCAUCGAUGAAGAACGCAGC